RNAcentral lists this long non-coding RNA (1059 nucleotides) under Ananas comosus (pineapple). RNAcentral's name for it is "long non-coding RNA (ACOM_LNC021908)". The record is from RNAcentral. Lineage: Eukaryota; Viridiplantae; Streptophyta; Magnoliopsida; Poales; Bromeliaceae.
CGAAAAAUUCACAUUGUGUUCGGCUCAUUUAUUAACUAGCCGAACACAAGCCAAAUACGAGCUCGCUCAUGAAUAAUAAUUUAAAAGAAUUAUGAAAUAUACGUAUAGAAAAUAAAUUUAUGAGAUUUUAUUAAAUUUAUGAGAUUUUAUUAAUUUAACUUUAAUCUAAUAGUUGAAACAUUACAUAUAAAUAAUAUUUUUAUAAUUGAGUUGGGCUUUAUAUUUAGGUUAAAUAAUAAAAAUUUAUAUUAUAUAUAUAAUUAUUUAUUUAUAUAUAUAAAUAUAAAAUAUAUGUAUUCGAGUUGUUAUCGAGCCGAACACAAACGAGCUGAUCUCGGCUCAUUUAUUAAACGAAUUGAAAAAUUCAACUCAAGUUCAGCUCGUUUAUUAAACGAGCGAUUCAAUCUCAAACUCAUUUUGAACCGAACACAAGCUGAUUUGCGAACAACGAAUUGAAAUGCCAACCCUACUUGGGAUGGGGCCUUGCCAUGUGCCAAGUAAAUUGCACGGUCUAAAAACACACUAUUUAAAACUCAUCUUAUUUAAUUAGGCAAAUAUGAUGCGUUCCCCUCAAAAUUUAAAAAAUACCAUAAAUAUUCUUUAAAAUUGCUAAUAUAAAUAUUAUCUCGAGCUAGGCUGGUAUACUAUCGGUAGCACGGAGGCCUUCGUACUAUCAAGUUGUUUUCAAUGAUGUAGCUUCCAAAUCGACGAUCGGCUUCUUUAGACUUGAUCUACACUAUUGAAAGUAUUGAAAAACUAAAUUUUAUAAUCUUUCGACAUUAUUUACCUAUCAAACGAGUAAUCUAAAAAUGAACGGCUGAAAAUAAAAAUCUCAUAAAAAAUGAUGAUAAAAAACUUAAAUUUAUAGAUAUUGAUCUUAUUCUAAAUAGUGAAAAAAAAUUCUAUAAAAAUUUUAUCAGAUUUGAAUUAUUUUAUACCGUUAAAUUCAUAAACGAAUCACAUCGACCAUUAAAGUUGUCAAUUUUGAUACCUUUUGAUCAUUAACCAACACAUCCAAUGUGUCGAUUAAAUCACGGAUCGUAAUUAUUCCGAAAAAUA